Molecule: transfer RNA, 65 nt
Filed under: Barynotus obscurus
Lineage: Eukaryota; Metazoa; Arthropoda; Insecta; Coleoptera; Curculionidae
Description: tRNA-His
Source: RNAcentral
ACUUAAGUAGUUUAUUAAAAAUUUUAAUUUGUGGAAUUAAGGAUAUGAUUUAUUCAUUUUAAGUA